CCAUGCAGUCGACGGUGAAGCCAAGCUUGCUUGGUGGAUCAAUGGCGAACGGGUGAGUAACACGUGAGCAACCUGCCCUGGACUCUGGGAUAAGCGCUGGAAACGGCGUCUAAUACUGGAUAUGAGCUCUCAUCGCAUGGUGGGGGUUGGAAAGAUUUUUUGGUCUGGGAUGGGCUCGCGGCCUAUCAGCUUGUUGGUGAGGUAAUGGCUCACCAAGGCGUCGACGGGUAGCCGGCCUGAGAGGGUGACCGGCCACACUGGGACUGAGACACGGCCCAGACUCCUACGGGAGGCAGCAGUGGGGAAUAUUGCACAAUGGGCGGAAGCCUGAUGCAGCAACGCCGCGUGAGGGAUGACGGCCUUCGGGUUGUAAACCUCUUUUAGCAGGGAAGAAGCGAGAGUGACGGUACCUGCAGAAAAGUUUCGUUUAUUUCCUGU
Molecule: ribosomal RNA, 438 nt
Filed under: Microbacterium sp.
Lineage: Bacteria; Bacillati; Actinomycetota; Actinomycetes; Micrococcales; Microbacteriaceae
Description: bacterial SSU rRNA
Rfam family: Bacterial small subunit ribosomal RNA
Source: RNAcentral